RNAcentral lists this unclassified non-coding RNA (335 nucleotides) under Hevea brasiliensis (rubber tree). Lineage: Eukaryota; Viridiplantae; Streptophyta; Magnoliopsida; Malpighiales; Euphorbiaceae. The record is from RNAcentral.
GCUUUAUGUACUUCCCAAGUGAUUUUUGGCGAGCCCUCUUCUUUAUUCUCUGAAUCUUGUCCUUGCUUUGUUGUCUCCUUUUUUCCUUCUGUUGUAACCGCAUGUUUCGCUCCCUGUCGUAUAUCCCCUGCCAGAAUACCUCGCCAGUUAAUGGCCAGAGCCAUCUGCGGACCGGGCGAUCAGUAUCCGAUUCCUCGGCUAAAUCCUCAUCCAUGCUCUUCAGUGUGGCAGGUGAGAACCAUUUGAUCCACAUCUGACCUCGUCGUCCCUUCAACUUGUGCUGCUCCUGCAUCACUCCGGUCUCAGGGUUUAUAUACACCAUGCGACGUGCACUG